RNAcentral lists this transfer RNA (76 nucleotides) under Gammaproteobacteria bacterium. RNAcentral describes it as "tRNA-Met". It matches the Rfam family "tRNA". From Rfam's summary of the family: Transfer RNA (tRNA) molecules are approximately 80 nucleotides in length. Their secondary structure includes four short double-helical elements and three loops (D, anti-codon, and T loops). Further hydrogen bonds mediate the characteristic L-shaped molecular structure. tRNAs have two regions of fundamental functional importance: the anti-codon, which is responsible for specific mRNA codon recognition, and the 3' end, to which the tRNAs corresponding amino acid is attached (by aminoacyl-tRNA synthetases). tRNAs cope with the degeneracy of the genetic code in two manners: having more than one tRNA (with a specific anti-codon) for a particular amino acid; and 'wobble' base-pairing, i.e. permitting non-standard base-pairing at the 3rd anti-codon position. Lineage: Bacteria; Pseudomonadati; Pseudomonadota; Gammaproteobacteria. The record is from RNAcentral.
GCGCCCGUAGUUUAAUGGCCAAAACAUAGUGCUCAUAACGCUAAAGAUGUGGGUUCGAAUCCCACCGGGCGCACCA